UUAGAAAUCUUGCGCAAUGGGCGAAAGCCUGACGCAGCGACGUCGCGUGGGGGAGGAAGGCUUUCGGGUUGUAAACCCCUUUUGUCGAGGAAGAAACAAAUGACGGUACUCGACGAAUAAGCCCCGGCUAACUCCGUGCCAGCAGCCGCGGUAAUACGGAGGGGGCGAGCGUUGUCCGAAGUUACUGGGCGUAAAGCGCGCGUAGGCGGGUUGGUAAGUCCGCUGUGAAAGCCCGGGGCUCAACUCCGGAGGGUCGGUGGAUACUGCCAGUCUUGAAGGUGCUAGGGGGAGAUGGAAUUACCGGUGUAGCGGUGAAAUGCGUAGAUAUCGGUAGGAACACCAGUGGCGAAGGCGGUCUCCUGGGGCAUUCUUGACGCUGAGGCGCGAAAGCUGGGGGAGCAAAC
This 404-nucleotide ribosomal RNA is filed under the name uncultured bacterium. Its description in RNAcentral is "bacterial SSU rRNA". It matches the Rfam family "Bacterial small subunit ribosomal RNA", at positions 355 to 773 of the family's 1533-position model. The record is from RNAcentral.